AAAGACAAUAUGAAUUAUACUAUGAACUUAUAAGGUUACAACAUAGCAGACACAUUUAUCAUAUUAGAAUGUUAUACUAUUAGAUUCAUAAAAUUGAUUCGAGAACACCCUCUAAUGAAGUAUUCACCCAGAUGUUCUCUAUUAUUCUCAUUUAAAACAUAAGAUGGAUCAAUUACAAGUUAACCAGGGUACCCUAAGGGCUAAGGCAUGCUUUAUUAAGUAAGCUAAUAAAUCUUAUAUGCUGAAAAAAUGAGUGAAUAAAUUUUAGAUGCAGUAUAUAUGUCAUUAUCAUAAUGCAAAUAAGUAUCUCUACUUCAUUGUGACAGAUAAGGCAUCAGGGAUAGUAUAGCCUAGCUAUUAACGCAUAAAUGUCUCUUAGGGCUGGAAUUCUAUGCAAUAGAUUUGACAGAGAAUGACUAGAGGGGUUGCUCUGAUGGUAAGCAAUCCCCACUUUUAAUCGAGAGGUUGUGAGUUCGAGUCUCCCCAAGAGCAAGGUGAGAAGUUCUUGGAG
RNAcentral lists this long non-coding RNA (511 nucleotides) under Nicotiana benthamiana. RNAcentral describes it as "long non-coding RNA (NBEN_LNC002331)". The record is from RNAcentral. Lineage: Eukaryota; Viridiplantae; Streptophyta; Magnoliopsida; Solanales; Solanaceae.